AGUAAAUAGAUACCCCGGUAGUCCACGCCCUAAACGAUGCAUAUUUGGUGUGGGCAGUUCAUUCUGUCCGUGCCGGAGCUAAACGCGUUAAAUAUGCCGCCUGGGGAGUACAGUCGCAAGGCUGAAACUCAAAGGAAUUGCCGGGGGCCCGCACAAGCGGUGGAGCAUGUGGUUCAAUUCGACGCAACGCGAAGAACCUUACCUGGGCUCGAACGGCCGGUCAACGGCGGUGGAAACAUCGCUACCCCGCAAGGGGGUCCGGUCGAGGUGCUGCAUGGCUGUCGUCAGCUCGUGUCGUGAGAUGUUGGGUUAAGUCCCGCAACGAGCGCAACCCUUGUCCUGUGUUGCCAUCAUUUAGUUGGGAACUCGCAGGAGACCGCCAGGGAUAACCUGGAGGAAGGUGGGGAUGACGUCAAGUCCUCAUGGCCUUUAUGUCCAGGGCUACACACGUGCUACAAUGGCCGGUACAAAGCGUCGCAAACUCGCGAGAGGGAGCCAAUCGCAAAAAAACCGGUCUCAGUUCGGAUUGCAGGCUGCAACUC
RNAcentral lists this ribosomal RNA (542 nucleotides) under uncultured bacterium. RNAcentral's name for it is "bacterial SSU rRNA". It matches the Rfam family "Bacterial small subunit ribosomal RNA", at positions 774 to 1313 of the family's 1533-position model. The record is from RNAcentral.